This 450-nucleotide ribosomal RNA is filed under the name uncultured bacterium. Its description in RNAcentral is "partial 16S ribosomal RNA". It matches the Rfam family "Bacterial small subunit ribosomal RNA", at positions 354 to 796 of the family's 1533-position model. The record is from RNAcentral.
GUGGGGAAUUUUGGACAAUGGGCGCAAGCCUGAUCCAGCAAUGCCGCGUGCAGGAAGAAGGCCUUCGGGUUGUAAACUGCUUUUGUACGGAACGAAACGGUCCUGGCUAAUAUCCGGGGCUAAUGACGGUACCGUAAGAAUAAGCACCGGCUAACUACGUGCCAGCAGCCGCGGUAAUACGUAGGGUGCGAGCGUUAAUCGGAAUUACUGGGCGUAAAGCGUGCGCAGGCGGUGCUGUAAGACAGGCGUGAAAUCCCCGGGCUCAACCUGGGAAUUGCGCUUGUGACUGCAGUGCUGGGGUGCGGCAGAGGGGGAUGGAAUUCCGCGUGUAGCGGUGAAAUGCGUAGAUAUGCGGAGGAACACCGAUGGCGAAGGCAAUCCCCUGGGCCUGCACUGACGCUCAUGCACGAAAGCGUGGGGAGCAAACAGGAUUAGAAACCCGUGUAGUCC